Transfer RNA from Felis catus (domestic cat), 85 nucleotides. It matches the Rfam family "tRNA". Rfam says of the family: Transfer RNA (tRNA) molecules are approximately 80 nucleotides in length. The record is from Rfam. NCBI's taxonomy places the organism in Eukaryota, Metazoa, Chordata, Mammalia, Carnivora, Felidae.
GCCUGGGUGGCUCAGUUGGUUGAGCGACCGACUUUGGCUCAGGUCAUGAUCUCGCAGUUUGUGGGUUCGAGCCCCGCGUCGGGCU